GUGAGGGAGGGUGUGACUAGUGACAGUUAAGCAGGGAAGGGGUGACUAGGGACAGAGUGAGGGAGGUGGUGACUAGUGACAGUCACCACCUCCCUCACUCUGUCACUAGUCAUCACCUCCCUCCGUCACUGUGUCACCCCCUCCCUCACUCUGUCACCAGUCAUCCCCUUACUCUGUCACUAGUCACCCCUCCCUUCCCUCUC
Molecule: non-coding RNA, 203 nt
Organism: Pelobates cultripes (western spadefoot toad)
Lineage: Eukaryota; Metazoa; Chordata; Amphibia; Anura; Pelobatidae
Source: the annotation of a GenBank genome assembly